Non-coding RNA from Camellia sinensis, 477 nucleotides. Lineage: Eukaryota; Viridiplantae; Streptophyta; Magnoliopsida; Ericales; Theaceae. The record is from RefSeq and is a predicted model, not a curated record.
AAUUGUUUUGCAGAUGUAUACAAGUUUGAGAAAAUCGAUUUUGUUUUUAACAGAGAUCGUAGCAAUUUGGAUUCAAUAACGAUUUGUGGAAUAUAUCAUUUGUCAUGCUGAGAUUUCAAUUAUCUUUGUAGAAGAAACUAAAAAUUCCUGAGAGGUUGUUGCUGCAAAUUCUCAAUCUGAGAAGAGUUCGCCCAGCAGAAAUUCCAAGACCAAGACCAAGACCAAGACCAAAGCAAAGCAGCAAAACCUUCAAUAUGCCUCCAAUGGCGGUGGUGGCUCUACAGUCACCGAAGCAUUCAGAGAAAGUGGAAAGGGAGUUACAAAGCACUCGGAAUCUUGCGGGAUGGGCGAGACGGUAAGAGAGAGAGAAAGAGAGAGUUCUCUCGAAGAUCGAUCGAUCGAUUGAUUCUCUUUCCGACUCCGCCCAUUCCAUUGGAUUCCGAUUGCUCCUCCCUCUCCUCCUCUCUCCUUUCACAA